Molecule: ribosomal RNA, 253 nt
Filed under: uncultured bacterium
Lineage: Bacteria
Description: partial 16S ribosomal RNA
Rfam family: Bacterial small subunit ribosomal RNA
Source: RNAcentral
UACGUAGGGUGCGAGCGUUAAUCGGAAUUACUGGGCGUAAAGCGUGCGCAGGCGGUUUUGUAAGCCAGAUGUGAAAUCCCCGGGCCCAACCUGGGAAUGGCAUUUGGGACUGCAAGGCUAGAGUAUGGCAGAGGAGACCAGAAUUUCUGGUGUAGCAGUGAAAUGCGUAGAUAUCAGAAGGAAUACCGAUGGCGAAGGCAGGCCUCUGGGUCAAUACUGACGCUCAUGCACGAAAGCGUGGGGAGCAAACAGG